This 468-nucleotide unclassified non-coding RNA is filed under the name Hevea brasiliensis (rubber tree). Lineage: Eukaryota; Viridiplantae; Streptophyta; Magnoliopsida; Malpighiales; Euphorbiaceae. The record is from RNAcentral.
UUAGGAAGGCCAGCUUCUUCUCAGACAUCUGAUAGGAGAGCAGGAUCCUCAAUGAAUGGUUACAGGAAAGAUGAAUACAGUUGGAGAUAUGACAGUGAUGAGCUUCCAGAAGAUGUGAUACGAGCUUCAGCUGCGCUGGAAAACCUUCAGUUGGACAGGAAGGCUCACAAUCUAACUACAUCUUGGCGGCCUGCUGGUGAUGGAAUGAGUGAUGAUGAUGGCAGGGUUGACCAUAUUUAGCUGAAUGGCAUCCUUUGACACUGCACUUGUAGUCUCAUGAGUAUUUUUAUUUCUGAUCUAUCAAAUGUUCUAUUAUCAGGAAAAUAGGGUAGUGAUUUUGUGUAAGUGUUUUUUUCCCCUCAAAUUAUAUGUUGUGAGUUGAUUUAGUGUUAUGUAUGAGCUUCCUUGAUUUCCCUUUUGGAAUCCAUUUUGAUACUCUAAUAAAAAUACUCAUGAGACUACAAGUGC